RNAcentral lists this ribosomal RNA (380 nucleotides) under uncultured eukaryote. RNAcentral describes it as "partial 18S ribosomal RNA". It matches the Rfam family "Eukaryotic small subunit ribosomal RNA", at positions 592 to 976 of the family's 1831-position model. The record is from RNAcentral.
CAAUAGCGUAUAUUAAAGUUGUUGCGGUUAAAAAGCUCGUAGUUGGAUUUCUGCCGAGAACGACCGGUCCGCCCUUUGGGUGUGUAUCUGGCUCUUUCUUGGCAUCUUCUUGGUGAACGUUGCUGCACUUGACUGUGUGGAGCGCUACCCAGGACUUUUACUUUGAGGAAAUUAGAGUGUUUCAAGCAGGCAUACGCCUUGAAUACAUUAGCAUGGAAUAAUAAGAUAGGACCUCGGUUCUAUUUUGUUGGUUUCUAGAGCUGAGGUAAUGAUUAAUAGGGAUAGUUGGGGGCAUUCGUAUUUAACUGUCAGAGGUGAAAUUCUUGGAUUUGUUAAAGUCGGACUACUGCGAAAGCAUUUGCCAAGGAUGUUUUCAUUGA